CCAGACUCCUACGGGAGGCAGCAGUGGGGAAUAUUGCACAAUGGGGGGAACCCUGAUGCAGCGACGCCGCGUGGGUGAAGGAGCACCUCGGUGCGUAAAGCCCUAUCGGCAGGGAAGAAACAGACGGUACCUGACUAAGAAGCCCCGGCUAACUACGUGCCAGCAGCCGCGGUAAUACGUAGGGGGCAAGCGUUAUCCGGAUUUACUGGGUGUAAAGGGAGCGUAGACGGCAGUGCAAGUCUGGAGUGAAAGGCGGGGGCUCAACCCCCGGACUGCUCUGGAAACUGUACGGCUGGAGUGCAGGAGAGGUAAGUGGAAUUCCUAGUGUAACGGUGAAAUGCGUAGAUAUUAGGAGGAACACCAGUGGCGAAGGCGGUCUGCUGGACAGCAACUGACGCUGAGGCGCGAAAGCGUGGGGAGCAAACAGGAUUAGAUACCCGCGUAG
RNAcentral lists this ribosomal RNA (445 nucleotides) under uncultured bacterium. Its description in RNAcentral is "bacterial SSU rRNA". It matches the Rfam family "Bacterial small subunit ribosomal RNA", at positions 331 to 793 of the family's 1533-position model. The record is from RNAcentral.